GGGAGUCCUUGAUCUUGAAUCAAGACUGUUAGGGUCUGUGGGUGGCCCAGCUUCAAAGUGAGGAGUCCCUAAGAUUUGCAAGUGUGCCAGCCCGGGAGGCUUCCCGGAAGCUGUAGGAGCUCCUCAUCAGAGGCUCUCUGGAGCACGUGAGAAGGAGCUGGGGUCCAGGUCACCAGCAAGGGAAGCGUAAACCAUGCACGGCUCAUCCAGUGGCGUGAUCUGUCCACAAACAGGGAACGAAAGCGUUUGCUGCACCUAGGAUUGAGAGCAAAGCCGAUGUCUUCAAGGCAUUUGGCUGUGUCACUCCACGCAGGGAAGGAGCCUGCAGCUUUCAGAGGGCAGUUGGCUGCAGUGAACGAACCCUGCCUGAGCAGGGAUUCAGAACGGACAUGGACGAAGAGCAUCCUUCAGGCGCUAUGUGCACAUCUGGAUCAAGGCAUGCCUGUGACUUUUGAAACUUUGUGACGUGACACUUACCUAUUUCCUUUUGUGCUUCUCACCAGAUAGGCCUUUCUUUAUCUUUCACCAUUAGACACCCGGAUGAAUCACAUCCACGUGCAAAUGUAACAACCUGCCAGAUGAGGAGGUACAGAGUAGGAAUUGUAACAAUCUCUGUCUAUUGCAAAACUUCCAGAUAUGGAAAUGAUGGUAAAUUUUAAUUUAUUUUUAUUUGUGUCUGUGUCUGUGUGUCUGGGUGCAUGUACUGGCAGGUCUGUGCAUGCUUUCAGAGGCCAGAGAGUGUAUUGGGUCCACUGGAACUGGAGUUACAGGAGGUUGCAAGCUAUUCAAUGUGGAGGAUGAGAAUGGGACUUUACCAGUUGAUGUUUUGCUGUGGAUGACUGGAUCUGGUUGCUUUUGGCUGUCUCUUCCCUGUUGUUAGUAAAAAACUAAA
This is a long non-coding RNA of Meriones unguiculatus (Mongolian gerbil), 892 nucleotides long. RefSeq lists it as uncharacterized. Lineage: Eukaryota; Metazoa; Chordata; Mammalia; Rodentia; Muridae. The record is from RefSeq and is a predicted model, not a curated record. The transcript has 3 exons.